RNAcentral lists this long non-coding RNA (207 nucleotides) under Fukomys damarensis (Damara mole-rat). RNAcentral's name for it is "lncRNA (ENSFDAG00000029318.1)". The record is from RNAcentral. Lineage: Eukaryota; Metazoa; Chordata; Mammalia; Rodentia; Bathyergidae.
CCAGGCCAAGGUACAGUGGACGGGUAAGUACCACUUGGAUAUGGCACGGACAACUACGGAGACAAGAGGGUCAAUCCGGGAAGAGACUACAAUAUGGCCUUUCCUCAAGACAAGCUCGAGCAGAGGUCAGAAGGGACCAGGUGUCGCAGUCCUCCUGAAAUAUGCUACUACUGUAUGGAAGUCAAUGUUACCUUCCUACCAUUACCA